This 180-nucleotide ribosomal RNA is filed under the name uncultured Glomeromycotina. RNAcentral's name for it is "partial small subunit ribosomal RNA". The record is from RNAcentral. Lineage: Eukaryota; Fungi; Glomeromycota.
AAUCUGGUUGGAUGGUCUGCCUUCACGGUACGUACUUUCCGGCCGGAUUCUACCUCUUGGUGAGCCAGCAUGCCCUUUACUGGGUGUGUUGGGGAACCAGGACUUUUACCUUGAGAAAAUUAGAGUGUUCAAAGCAGGCUUACGCUGUGAAUACAUUAGCAUGGAAUAAUAGAAUAGGAC